RNAcentral lists this ribosomal RNA (376 nucleotides) under uncultured organism. RNAcentral's name for it is "partial 16S ribosomal RNA". It matches the Rfam family "Bacterial small subunit ribosomal RNA", at positions 527 to 897 of the family's 1533-position model. The record is from RNAcentral.
GUAGGGUGCGAGCGUUAAUCGGAAUUACUGGGGCGUAAGGCGUGCGCAGGCGGUUGUGCAAGACAGAUGUGAAAUCCCCCGGGGGCUCAACCUGGGGAAUUGCAUUUGUGACUGCACGGCUAGAGUGUGUCAGAGGGGGGUAGAAUUCCACGUGUAGCAGUGAAAUGCGUAGAGAUGUGGAGGAAUACCGAUGGCGAAGGCAGCCCCCUGGGAUAACACUGACGCUCAUGCACGAAAGCGUGGGGAGCAAACAGGAUUAGAUACCCUGGUAGUCCACGCCCUAAACGAUGUCAACUAGUUGUCGGGUCUUAAUUGACUUGGUAACGCAGCUAACGCGUGAAGUUGACCGCCUGGGGAGUACGGUCGCAAAGAUUAA